UCCAGACUCCUACGGGAGGCAGCAGUGGGGAAUACUGGUCAAUGGGUGAGAGUCUGAACCAGCCAAGUAGCGUGAAGGAUGACUGCCCUAUGGGUUGUAAACUUCUUUUAUAUGGGAAUAAAACGUUCCACGUGUGGGAUUUUGUAUGUACCAUAUGAAUAAGGAUCGGCUAACUCCGUGCCAGCAGCCGCGGUAAUACGGAGGAUCCGAGCGUUAUCCGGAUUUAUUGGGUUUAAAGGGAGCGUAGGUGGAUUGUUAAGUCAGUUGUGAAAGUUUGCGGCUCAACCGUAAAAUUGCAGUUGAAACUGGCAGUCUUGAGUACAGUAGAGGUGGGCGGAAUUCGUGGUGUAGCGGUGAAAUGCUUAGAUAUCACGAAGAACUCCGAUUGCGAAGGCAGCCUACUAAACUGCCACUGACAUUGAUGCUCGAAAGUGUGGGUAUCAAACAGGAUUAGAUACCCUUGUA
RNAcentral lists this ribosomal RNA (465 nucleotides) under uncultured bacterium. Its description in RNAcentral is "bacterial SSU rRNA". It matches the Rfam family "Bacterial small subunit ribosomal RNA", at positions 330 to 792 of the family's 1533-position model. The record is from RNAcentral.